This 253-nucleotide ribosomal RNA is filed under the name uncultured prokaryote. RNAcentral's name for it is "partial 16S ribosomal RNA". It matches the Rfam family "Bacterial small subunit ribosomal RNA", at positions 524 to 776 of the family's 1533-position model. The record is from RNAcentral.
GACGAGCCUCACAAACGUUAUUCGGAAUUACUGGGCUUAAAGGGUGCGUAGGCGGCGCGGAAAGUUGGGUGUGAAAUCCCUCGGCUCAACCGAGGAAUUGCGCUCAAAACUACCGUGCUCGAGGGAGAUAGAGGAGUGCGGAACUUAGGGUGGAGCGGUGAAAUGCGUUGAUAUCCUAGGGAACACCGGUGGCGAAAGCGGCACUCUGGAUCUCUUCUGACGCUGAUGCACGAAAGCUAGGGUAGCAAACGGG